RNAcentral lists this long non-coding RNA (2303 nucleotides) under Arabidopsis thaliana (thale cress). RNAcentral describes it as "potential natural antisense gene, locus overlaps with AT2G24750 and AT2G24760 (AT2G24755)". The record is from RNAcentral. Lineage: Eukaryota; Viridiplantae; Streptophyta; Magnoliopsida; Brassicales; Brassicaceae.
CAGCUGGUUUUCCAUUAAAUUGAAAUCAGAACCGGUAUAACCACUAGUACAUUGAAUGCAGAAAAUAAAGCUUCUUUUGCAAUCUCAUCUGCUCUUCGAUUUUUAUCUCUAGGAACAAAACAGAAUCUGAUAAAAUCAAAAGUUAAAGAUAGGGAGAGGAUGUCGUGGAGAAUCCCGUAGAGCUCCUUCGAUUGAAGCUCCAAAUUUAGUGCUUUGAUCAGCUGUUGCGAAUCUGAAGCAAGCGAAAGUUUUUUGUAACCAAGAUCUCUGGCUUGAUGGAUCGCGUGAAGCAUCGCCAGCGCCUCUGCCAUUAACGGAGAUCGAACGUUGGAAGCAGAAGAUCUACCAUGGCGCUCUGUGUUACAGAGGAAAUCAGAGAAGUGCCAACCAAAUCCCGCCUCUUUUGUCUCAGCUUUCCAAGCGGCGUCUGUGAACCCUCGGAUUGUAUCUAAUCCAAUCUCUUCGAUCUGGUACGGGAGUCGUAAUUGAGGAGAUUGGGGUGAUACAAGUUGAGAAGCACACCAUUCCCGAGCUUGGGAAACAGCCUGAGCCACCGCUUCGAAGUUUGUAAUUUGUCUCUUCUCAAAGAUGCGCUUAUUUCGGGAGAUCCAAAUCGUCCAUAGUAUCCAUGGCAAAAGGGGGACGUCUCCGAGUCCUGUAGGAGGCAAAUUGGUCAGGAGCUUCGAAGUUUCUAGACCUUUCCUCAGCGACGUGAUUUGGGAAGAGCAGAAUGAAGUCUUGAAGGGAGAUUUGUCCCAAAUUGAGCUUGCGAAGCUGCAAUGAAAAAACAGAUCUCUCGGAGCCAGUCGAACUCAACAACUGGAGGGUUUAGAAGCGGCCUCUCCUCCCGCAAGUUCGCAACAAGAUAGCCUGUCUUUGCAGAAUAUUCUCCGGACUUGGUAACAACAAUUGAAUUAUCUCUUUAAUCCAGGAGUUAGAAGAAGGACAUAUAAGGUCUGCCACUGUUAGUUCCUGAGAGAACUGAGUUGCUGGUCCCAUUGGGGUGACUGGUUUAGAAAGGGAGAUCCAUGGUUCUUGCCAAAUCUUAGAGUCUUUGCCAGUGCCAAUAGCUCUGCCAAGCUGAGUCUUAAGCAGAUCUCUUCCAAGACAUAUUCCACGCCACCCAUGCGAUGCAUUAUUGGAAACUUUGCAGUCUAGGAAGGAUGAUGAUUGGCAGUAUUUACCAAGGAGAACCUUUGCCAACAUAGAUGAAGGUUUAGUGAGUAGUCUCCAGCUCACUUUGGCUAGUAAAGCAUCAUUGAAACUAGGGAAGAGUCCCACCAGAAACGUGUUAGAGCUGAUUGGAUGCGUUUGCAGAGAGAACCCGGGAGCUUGAAACAUGACAUUGUAUAGGUGGGCAUUGCCACUAGGACUGCUUUUAACAUGGUUGCUUUUCCUGCAGUGGAGAGAAACCUAGAAGACCAGCUCUUAGCUCUCUGUCUUAUGCGGUCGAUGAUGAAAUUAAACAUAUCCUUCUUCUUUCUGCCAAACAGCUCAGGAUUAGCAUAAGGUUCUGACAGCUUUGGACAUCGAAUUUACAGAAGAACAUAGUGUCAUCUGCAAAGAGUAGAUGUUUUAAUCGGGGACUGCCUUUUGCCACUCUUACACCAAGUAAGUCUCCAUUCUGUUGUGCCUUCUGACAAAGUCCAGAGAGGACCUCACUGCAUAGAAUGAAAAUAUAGGGUGAUAGUGGAUCCCCUUGUCUUAUUCCUCUCUGUGGUUUGACUGAACCUUGAGCUGCUCCAUUUAGUAAGAAAGAGUAAGACACUGAAGUAAUGCAUUGCAUUAUCCACUCAACCCAUUUUUGGUGAAAACUCAUUUUUUCCAUAACAAGUCUGAUAAACUCUCACUCAAUGCGAUUAUAUGCUUUGCUCAUGUCAGUUUUAACAGCCAUAUAACACCUCUUCUUUGCUCCUGAUGUUUUUAUGUAGUGUAGGACCUCAUGUGUUAUCAGCACAUUAUCAGUAAUGCAACUUUUAUAAAAUAUAAUUUAUAUUAAUUUACUUCGAAUAACCUAAAUUAGUCAAAAGCCAUUAGAUAUAUUUGAGUGAUUAUGAAUAUAGUUAGAGGUUUGGCUCUCCUCCUACAUAGCCACCUAAUCAAAAAAAGUUUACAUUAAAAUCUAUUGAAAACGUUCAUUUAACUUUAACCAAAAAAUACCAAACUAUUACAUAUAAUUAGAAGUAUAAGUUAAUCAAAUACCAAAAAAUAGUAAAAAGAUGAAAAAUAAAAAUAGUAAUGACAAUUGUAAAAAAAUUGACAAUAAUCAUCUAUUUCAUUCAAUGUUUUAAAUUGGAACCUAU